Molecule: ribosomal RNA, 253 nt
Filed under: uncultured Synechococcus sp.
Lineage: Bacteria; Bacillati; Cyanobacteriota; Cyanophyceae; Synechococcales; Synechococcaceae
Also listed under: 1 other name
Description: partial 16S ribosomal RNA
Rfam family: Bacterial small subunit ribosomal RNA
Source: RNAcentral
UACGGGAGUGGCAAGCGUUAUCCGGAAUUAUUGGGCGUAAAGCGUCCGCAGGCGGCCUUGAAAGUCUGUCGUUAAAGCGUGGAGCUUAACUCCAUUUCGGCGGUGGAAACUACAAGGCUUGAGUGUGGUAGGGGCAGAGGGAAUUCCCGGUGUAGCGGUGAAAUGCGUAGAUAUCGGGAAGAACACCAGUGGCGAAGGCGCUCUGCUGGGCCAUAACUGACGCUCAUGGACGAAAGCUAGGGGAGCGAAAGGG